AGAACGGGUUUGACGGAACGGGUU
This 24-nucleotide non-coding RNA is filed under the name Arabidopsis thaliana (thale cress). The record is from RNAcentral. Lineage: Eukaryota; Viridiplantae; Streptophyta; Magnoliopsida; Brassicales; Brassicaceae.